ACGUAGGGUGCGAGCGUUAAUCGGAAUUACUGGGCGUAAAGCGUGCGCAGGCGGUUGAUUAAGACAGGCGUGAAAUCCCCGGGCUUAACCCGGGAACUGCGUUUGAGACUGGGGAACUUGAGUACUGGAGAGGAGGGUGGAAUUCCAGGUGUAGAGGUGAAAUGCGUAGAGAUGUGGAGGAAUACCAGUGGCGAAGGCAGCCAUCUGGGCGGUAACUGACGCUGAGGCGCGAAAGCGUGGGGAGCAAACAG
Molecule: ribosomal RNA, 251 nt
Filed under: uncultured prokaryote
Description: partial 16S rRNA
Rfam family: Bacterial small subunit ribosomal RNA
Source: RNAcentral